This 421-nucleotide ribosomal RNA is filed under the name uncultured prokaryote. RNAcentral's name for it is "bacterial SSU rRNA". It matches the Rfam family "Bacterial small subunit ribosomal RNA", at positions 355 to 776 of the family's 1533-position model. The record is from RNAcentral. RNAcentral also lists the same sequence under 1 other name.
UGGGGAAUAUUGCACAAUGAGCGAAAGCUUGAUGCAGCGACGCCGCGUGAGGGAUGACGGCUUUCGGGUUGUAAACCUCUUUCGGCAGGGAACAAGUCCAUGUUUUUGCAUGGUUGAGGGUACCUGCAUAAGAAGCGCCGGCUAACUACGUGCCAGCAGCCGCGGUAAUACGUAGGGCGCGAGCGUUGUCCGGAAUUAUUGGGCGUAAAGAGCUCGUAGGCGGCUUGUCACGUCUGCUGUGAAAACGCGGGGCUUAACUCCGCGCUUGCAGUGGGUACGGGCAGGAUUGAGUAUAGUAGGGGAGACUGGAAUUCCUGGUGUAGCGGUGGAAUGCGCAGAUAUCAGGAGGAACACCGAUGGCGAAGGCAGGUCUCUGGGCUAUAACUGACGCUGAGGAGCGAAAGCAUGGGGAGCGAACAGG